This is a long non-coding RNA of Notolabrus celidotus (New Zealand spotty), 909 nucleotides long. RefSeq lists it as uncharacterized. The record is from RefSeq and is a predicted model, not a curated record. The transcript is spliced from 4 exons. Lineage: Eukaryota; Metazoa; Chordata; Actinopteri; Labriformes; Labridae.
CUAUUUAUCGAAGUUGAUCCUGUGGUGAUGCAUACCACCAGCAUUACCACGACCUCCAGGAUGCUUCCUGUGCUUACCUGAGGAGUGGAGAAACACAUGUUAAACCAGUACGUGUAUGACAGAGUGACUUAUUACUACUCAUCUACUGAAUCCACCUGUAAGGCAGGUACAUUAACUCACCGAUGCGACCAUGUCCAUGGCUGACAUGUCCACGGAGCUUCCUCGUCUUGGUCAACCUGGUGGGCUGUAAACAGAAGAUUCAUGUUUGUUAGAAUGGCUUCAAAGCUAUGGUUGCAGAUGGAGCUAGCUGCUAGCUGCAUGCUAACUCAGUCAACUGUCCCUGUAGUAAAGAUUUAAGGACAGCUACAUUAAUAUUAACAGCCUGGAAUUACCUGGUCACAUAAGACAGGUAACAGCAUCACAUGGUUCAGGGGGCUGAGCUCUCCACCAAUCAAAUCAUGAAGAUUCCCCCUGAUACUGGACACAUGAAACAGCUUCAUCUCUCUCUUCUCUGCUCUGCUCACACUCACCUGGAGACACACUCACCUGGCUUUCUGAAGCAGACUUCGUGUUUGUCGUCGUUUACAGGAGCAUUGAGGCCCAGAUCUCCUGGAGAUGGCACACCAGCCUUACAGAUGUCAUGGAAACUUUCCCCAAAGGCGGGCCACACUGUUUCCACAGGUAUCCAGGUGUAGAGUGAAGAGGGCACUGGAGGCUGAUUCAUCUGAGACCGCUUCAAAUGGAGCAACGAGAGCAGAGGGGCCAAGCCUCCAGCUCUGCAGCUCUGGAUCCCAUGAGAUGGAAAAACAGUUGAAUGGGUCGUCCAACAGAAACAUCAGAGAAGCCUCUCCUUCACCAGAAAAACGACAAAGACAAACUGGAAAAGAUGUUGCAGCUCUAUUAAGAAGA